ACGAACGCUGGCGGCAUGCCUAACACAUGCAAGUCGAACGAGACCUUCGGGUCUAGUGGCGCACGGGUGCGUAACGCGUGGGAACCUGCCCUUAGGUUCGGAAUAACUCCCCGAAAGGGGUGCUAAUACCGGAUAACGUCUUCGGACCAAAGAUUUAUCGCCUUUGGAUGGGCCCGCGUUGGAUUAGCUAGUUGGUAGGGUAAAAGCCUACCAAGGCGACGAUCCAUAGCUGGUCUGAGAGGAUGAUCAGCCACACUGGGACUGAGACACGGCCCAGACUCCUACGGGAGGCAGCAGUGGGGAAUAUUGGACAAUGGGCGAAAGCCUGAUCCAGCAAUGCCGCGUGAGUGAUGAAGGCCUUAGGGUUGUAAAGCUCUUUUACCCGGGAUGAUAAUGACAGUACCGGGAGAAUAAGCUCCGGCUAACUCCGUG
RNAcentral lists this ribosomal RNA (432 nucleotides) under uncultured bacterium. RNAcentral describes it as "partial 16S ribosomal RNA". It matches the Rfam family "Bacterial small subunit ribosomal RNA", at positions 29 to 507 of the family's 1533-position model. The record is from RNAcentral.